Molecule: ribosomal RNA, 442 nt
Filed under: Ehrlichia chaffeensis
Lineage: Bacteria; Pseudomonadati; Pseudomonadota; Alphaproteobacteria; Rickettsiales; Anaplasmataceae
Description: bacterial SSU rRNA
Rfam family: Bacterial small subunit ribosomal RNA
Source: RNAcentral
CGAACGCUGGCGGCAAGCCUAACACAUGCAAGUCGAACGGACAAUUGCUUAUAACCUUUUGGUUAUAAAUAAUUGUUAGUGGCAGACGGGUGAGUAAUGCGUAGGAAUCUACCUAGUAGUAUGGAAUAGCCAUUAGAAAUGAUGGGUAAUACUGUAUAAUCCCUGCGGGGGAAAGAUUUAUCGCUAUUAGAUGAGCCUACGUUAGAUUAGCUAGUUGGUAAGGUAAUGGCUUACCAAGGCUAUGAUCUAUAGCUGGUCUGAGAGGACGAUCAGCCACACUGGAACUGAGAUACGGUCCAGACUCCUACGGGAGGCAGCAGUGGGGAAUAUUGGACAAUGGGCGAAAGCCUGAUCCAGCUAUGCCGCGUGAGUGAAGAAGGCCUUCGGGUUGUAAAACUCUUUCAAUAGGGAAGAUAAUGACGGUACCUAUAGAAGAAGUCCC